RNAcentral lists this long non-coding RNA (5070 nucleotides) under Helicoverpa zea (corn earworm). RNAcentral describes it as "uncharacterized LOC124634410". The record is from RNAcentral. Lineage: Eukaryota; Metazoa; Arthropoda; Insecta; Lepidoptera; Noctuidae.
UCGAGAGGUUGGCUCUUUACCCACUAGGCCACCACGACUUUUUUAUUUUUAUACAGUCCACAAGUAUUAUUUACAAAAUUCCCUUGAGGGCUCCUAUAUUGAGUCUUGGGUUGGACUUUUUUCAAAACAAUGGUGUUGUUAAAUACGUGAAUACCAUAUGCUUGCAUUUUUUAGACAAUAAGAUAAUUAAUUACAAUUCAAUUUACAGUUACAAGAGCUAUGGUGAAGCCGAAAGCAAAGGAUAGGAAAACUAGAGAGCAAAAGUUAACUCAGAAAAGACUUUAUAGAAGACAAAAGUAUGAAGAAAUUAAAAAGGAUCCUGAAAAGUAUGCAGCUCAAAAAGAAAAAGAUAGGUUACGAUAUUUGAAACGCAAAGAACAGAAUAAAAUAAAGAUGAUUAAAGACUUAACGCCACGACAACAAAGACAGAAAAGAAAACAAUGGAAUGAAAAUAGUCAACGAUAUAUAGAAAAGAAGAAAAAUAGAGCGAUAGAGCAAAUGUUCAUUGAUAAUUCUCCACCUACAAGUGAUUAUGAAGAAAUAGAUCCUCAAGUGCCUCAAGUUAAUGAAAUGCGCUGCAGCGGAGCGACGCGACAUUUUAAGUUCGACAUAUCGCACUAGAACUGCAGCGGCGCGACUACAUUCUACCCGUUAGUCGGUUGUAAGCCACUUACCGCGAUGGAUGAAAUUGAUGUGGACGCACGCAAACACACAUUUUAACACACGUUAAUUUUGCUUAGUUGCCCAACUUUGACGCGCGGUGUCGCGCAGCUUAGUUCUGUUGCCGCGUAGUGCGGUAUCUCUAAUACAUGUACUUAGAAACAAUAUUUUGCAGCGCAGUGUCGCGUCGCUCCGCCUUCUACUAACUACUAAGCUCAGGAGAAAGAAAUAAAACGAGAAAUAGAAGACUUCUUUGAUGAUGAUAGAAAUUGUAAAAUUGCUGCAGACAAAAAAUAAUGUAUAAAACAUUUAUUUCUUUCUUUAACUUAUCUUCAAAAGAUAUCAGUGUUUUAAUUGAAAUUAUUAAGCACCUAUGUAAAAAAGUUAAGUUUAUUUUAGUUCAUCUUAGGCCCGAGUUGUAUUUGAUUUUCCAAAUUAAUAAGACGUUAAAAAGUUUUAGUCUUUUAAUGUCUUUCAGAGCCCAUUUUUAGAUAAUUACCAGUAUAAAUGUGUCACUACCGUCUUCUCCGUUGUCAUUACCAUCACUAACAAAGCCAUUCCCGGUUAGAAAAAAAAAAUCGCUUAUAACUUCUAAGUUUAUGUGUGCAAUUAGUUAUUAUAUAAUUUAUGAAUUAUGCAAAUUUCAGACGUUAGAGUUGAUUUUUUAAGUUUAAAAAAUUCUCUCACUUUCGCCAAAUAUGCACGAAAUGAAAGAAUUACCCUGUAAGCAAGGUCAUUUCCAAAAUUUUAAAUUAAAUUUUCCGUGUAAUUUAUUUUAUUCAGCUUCGGAACCGCCCUAGAUCUGAACUUGCCGUACCAUAUCUGAACUGAAUCAUAUUUCUUAAGAUCAUUUGUGUCAUUAGUUGUCUCUUUACAAUAGCUUUGUUUGACCCAAUCUAGCAUUUGACAUUAAUAUUUGUAUUUUAUUAUAAAAAUAGAGUGUAGACUAGUGUUUAGAAAAUAUUUUAGUGAUAGUUGAAUAUUAUUUAAGUAUUUUAGUGGUUGCCUAUUUUCAGGAAAGAAAAAAAUCGUUGGCGGGAUUUUUCAAGUUAAAGAAGGAAAGAAAGUUUUAGUGUUAAAGAAUUUUGUCUACGUUGAAGAACAUAUAGCGAACCACAUAGUUAGGUGGAAAUGUUCAAGCAGUAGCUGUCCCGCUUAUAUACUUAUGAAUAUUUUUGAAAACUCCAAUAAAAUCGUUAAUGAGUUUACAGUACACAACCAUGGUACUACAGCUAGGUGGAGUGAUAACAAAAUUAUAUUCAAAGUUACAGUAUAACGAGCUAUUUAAUUUUAAGAUGUUAUUUCAUAAAAUGAUGCCAGUUCAUUUAAAAAUUUACACUUAAGCAUCCAUUAAUAGCCAUUAAUAGCGUUAAAAUUAUAUUAGCUAUGGAUACAAAUUUAAUAUUGAUUAAGGGAUUAUUUUUAGAAGGAUGCCCCAAGGCUUUAUUUUGGGCCAAGGUGGGAUUGAGGUUUUCUAGAACGUUCUUAAUGAAGAACGUCAAAUGAGAGCAAUAACGGUGUCUAUAGGACUCGAUACUCAAAUGUGUUAAAGAAUAUGUCUAGAGGAUAGUGGUAAAAGCUAAAAAAAGGACAAUCUAAAUAUUGCUAGUUGAUUUCAAUAAUAAUAUUUUUCAGUGCCUAAAGAGAAACUUUUGAAAAAUAUAUGGAUUUUUUGUAUGUAACUCGUGUUUUUCUUUUACUGAGACGAAUAACAGAUUACAACUUGGUAUGUUUUUCAACCAGGCCGGGCUUGGUAACAUUCGAAGCCAACCCUCUGGGCCCGGCCGGUCCGGCCCGGUCUAAAUAAAACAAUAUGAUGUAUAUUAAUUUAUUGUUACCUUUUGAACUCUAUUUCAGUACAAUUAAUCUCAGUACGAGGCAGACCCACCAAUAAACCUCUGAUGUUGAGGAAUGGAUUCACUUUUUACAAACAUUUUAAUCUGAAAUCAGGAGUUAGAUGGAGCUGUUCGAGAUCAUCUAAGUGUCGCGCGUAUGUCUUAGUGUCAGAAGAAGGCAGAGUCAUCAGAACUUCAGACGAACAUAAUCAUAAACCAUUGAACUAUCACAAAAUUUCUGAUGGCACAUAUGUUAGACUUUAGCUCUUGAGCCUUAACCUUGUAUUUUCUUGUAGUAUUGUCCAAAAAUCUGAUUAUAAAUAUGUUGGGAAAAUUGCAGAGCUCUAGAAUUCCGUUUGGUCUUUAUUUUAAUUUCAAUGUAAAGUCGAUAUUCAACUUGUCAAACCAACUCCAUUGAAUAAUUAAAUAAAAUUAUGCUUAAAAAUGAUCAGACUGUCUUUUAAAUCAGCCACCUAAUUCCUCAAGUUUUCUUGAAAACAUCUCGCCAACUUCAUAGUUCUUUGUUCGCAGUGAAGCUCAUAACCUUAAGCAAUACGGGCAAGCAAUAUCUGAUGAAGAACGGAUAUACUUACUAUCAGAGGAGGGUUUUGAAGACAGGUGUUAGAUGGAACUGCUCCAAAUCAGCUAAUUGUCGAGCUUUCCUCGUAGUCUCACAGGGACAAGUUACCAGAAGCUCCGAAAACCACUGUCAUGGCAAAACAAUGUAUUUCGAAAGUGGAGAUGGAACUUAUGUUAAAAUUUAAUAUAACUAUGGAUGUAUUACGGAUGUAUUCGUACUUUUCUUUCUUCUUAGGUUUAAGCCUUAAGUAGAUUAACCUCAAAAUAUUCAUUAUAAUAUGAUCAGGCUACAAAAAGUGAAAGGAGCGGAGAAAUUUUUCUCGGUUGAUUAAAAAUAAAAUUUCUCCGCUCAGGUAUACUAUUGAGUGGACACAAGAUGUUUCAAUAUUUAAAUUCAGUUGAUUAAAAAGAUAGAAUCUGGACCUUACUCCUCCAAAUAUUUUUUUCAAGUUUCAUACUACGUACAACAACGCAUUUUAUGUUGCAGUGAAACUGAUAACUGUACAUAAUACCGGAAAACAGUGCCUGAUGAAAGACGGCUUUACUUUCUAUCGGCACAGGGAGUUAAACGGCGGUGUCGUGCGCUGGCAAUGCACGUCCAAAUGUCUAGCGUACUUCUUAAUGAACCCUCAAGGAUAUAUAAUCAAAAUAGGACACAACCAUAAUCAUCCGAAGCCAACAUACCAUGUACUUCCUAGUGGACAUUAUUUAAAACUGUAACUUAAUUUACUGUAAUGUUAAAUACUUAUAUUAUACACGUCCUUCGUCCCUUAACAUUCUCAUGUCUAAUGGAUGCAGUUUUUUUUUCAUCCAUGACUUUUGUGCACAAUACUCUUAUCCGUACGGGACAUCUGGGCUGCCAAUGUCUUGAAAAACAUUUCAUGUCAUCAGUUUAUUAGGUCAAUUUGUACACACAUACGAGUAUUAUUCAAAGAAUAAGUUAAGAUAUAGUUGUCACGCUGAACUUAUCAAAUACAUUAAGGAUUAAUAUUAUAUUCACAUCUGUACUUAAAUGCUAGCAAAUAGCAUUUUGUUUAACUUUCAAAAGUAUGUCUUAUAGCGUCAAGGUAUAGUAAAUCUGUCAUUUAAAAUUAAACAUCUUUUACCAUAAAUACAAUUUUCCUCUGAAAUUACAAUCGAAUAUUUGUGGAAUUCCAUAAUGAUUUCUGUGUGCAUAAAAUACAAAUAAACCGUAAUAUACAUGUCCGUAUAUGUCAACUUUUAUUUCAAUUAAAACCUUCACAUUCUGUUUGUUUCAGUCAAAAUGAUAACCAUUGACAAGUCCCUUGUGCAGUACCUAAUGAUCGAUGGCUACGUGUUCUACAAACACAAUCAGACUCUAAAGAAUGAUGAUGUUAGGUGGCAAUGUACUCACAACUGCAAAGCACAUGUGUUUGUUUCACAAGACGGAUAUAUAAACUACAAACUCAAAUUAUAACAAUGGCGGGAGGGAAGUCGUGCAUCAAUUAUGAAGGUUAUACGUUCUUCUUUCGUUACAAGACAAAUACUGCCAACGUUUGGUGUUGCACCUGUUUUCCCAAGUGCAAAGCCAAAUUACUGGUUGAUGCAGACGACGUGAUUUUAAAAAUGAAAAAUUCACAUGAUCAUCCUAAGAGAGGACUCUUUCGCACCGCUAACGGGACGUACAUAAAAUAUUAGUUUAUUACUUAAGCUUUGGAAAAAACUGUAUACCAGUUUUUCAAGCAUUAAUUACAAUUCAUGUCAUUUUGGUACUUUCUGAAUAUUGUUAUACAAUAGAUAUUUUAUUGAGAUUUCUUUUUAGUUUUUAGAUUCCUUUUUAGUUGUCACUUUUGCUUCUAGACCAAUUAUUAUGAUGUGAAAGAUGUAGAAUUAUUUUUAAUUAAGGAAUUAUUUUAUUUAUAUAAAGAUGCAAUUUCGUUUGGAGAAUUCAUCAACAUUGAUAAAGGUGCCUUCUAAAUAUCUAAGGAUAUUGUUAUUAUAAAAAUUGUAAUAAAACACUUUUAUACAUAAAAAA